RNAcentral lists this ribosomal RNA (406 nucleotides) under uncultured bacterium. Its description in RNAcentral is "partial 16S ribosomal RNA". It matches the Rfam family "Bacterial small subunit ribosomal RNA", at positions 29 to 526 of the family's 1533-position model. The record is from RNAcentral.
AUUGAACGCUGGCGGCAGGCCUAACACAUGCAAGUCGAACGAGUGGCGGACGGGUGAGUAAUGUCUGGGAAACUGCCCGAUGGAGGGGGGUAACUACUGGAAACGGUAGCUAAUACCGCAUACCAUCGGAUGUGCCCAGAUGGGAUUAGCUAGUAGGUGGGGUAACGGCGCACCAGGGCGACGAUCCCUAGCUGGUCUGAGAGGAUGACCAGCCACACUGGAACUGAGACACGGCCCAGAUCCCUACGGGAGGCACAAGUGGGGAAUAUUGCACAAUGGGCGAAAGCCUGAUGCAGCCAGGCCGCGUGUAGGAAGAAGGCCUUCGGGUUGUAAAGUACUUUCAGCGAGGAGGCGUUACCCGCAGAAGAAGCACCGGCUAACUCCGUGCCAGCCGCCGCGGUAAUAC